RNAcentral lists this unclassified non-coding RNA (216 nucleotides) under Hevea brasiliensis (rubber tree). Lineage: Eukaryota; Viridiplantae; Streptophyta; Magnoliopsida; Malpighiales; Euphorbiaceae. The record is from RNAcentral.
UAUCAGAAAUCUUGCUUUAUUUGGAGGAGGAAGGUCUUUCUUUAAUCAAUUCUUCUUCCUUUGAGUCCUUUGGAGGCAGGGUCUUCUUUAAUUUACAUCUUCAGGCAAAAGGAGGUUAUAAAUUGGAGCAAGAGGUUUUAAGUGAGAAGCUUGUGUCUUUAUACAAGGAAGGGAAAGGAUUUCCAUAAAAUUCGUGUAUGAUAUUUGAUAAUUUAA